Molecule: long non-coding RNA, 579 nt
Organism: Macadamia integrifolia
Lineage: Eukaryota; Viridiplantae; Streptophyta; Magnoliopsida; Proteales; Proteaceae
Exons: 2
Source: RefSeq, a predicted model, not a curated record
CACAUUCCCCAUCAGUGGCUGAUUUCUUCCUAAACCAAAGACUACUACGUGGCCAGGGAGUUUCUUCUUGUUUUGUUCGAAAUUUCUCCUUUAAUUUCAAUCAAUGAUUGAAAUAGCUUUUAUGUUUUAGAAAUUAGUUUUAGGAAUCAAUUUUAGGAAUUGGGGUGGUCAGCCAAACGGGCCUUAAGGACCCUUUGGCUGAGUUAUAAAACAAGAUAUCAGCUGCCGUUUCCUCAUUUGUUUCUGUCUAGGACGGUGGAACAGCAGAGGAGAAGAAGAAGAAGAGAAGAAAAGGAAGAAAGAAGAAGAAAAGAGAGCUGGUUUGGGGCUGCCUGCAUAAGAUGGUGGAACCGGUGCUGAGGCAAGAUUGGAUUUCAACAGUGAUUGUGAGGUUUGUGUCUAUGAGACAUCAGGAUGCUGAUGGACUUCACUUCUUUUAUUUCAAUUAUUCCUUUUGAUGUAAAUGUUUAAGAAAUGUGUAGUAAGUAAUAUGCUAAUCUGUGAUUGUUUCUAGACAUAGAAAUUGUAGAAUGUAAUUUAUCAUUUUAGUACAUCAUCAGUGAUAUUUGUAUGACUUUA